CGAGGACGCAGUCUUCCUCCCAGGAGAAGCUUUGCCGCUGUAGAAGCUGAAAUGUAAAAUCAAGGUAACGUUCUUCAAGGUCAACCACAGCUUUGAAGAAGGCCUUUGCACCCGAAGCAGCAGGCAUGGGGACAAAAUGCCAACUCCAUCCAGGAAGCUGCUGGGGUAAAGAGUGACGGUCUUUCCCCACAUCUCCACCCAUAGUCUCCAGAAGACGAGUGACUACGUGGUCUCUGGUGUACUCUGGUGACUUUGCUAAUCCGCUUACAUUUUAUCAAACGCUAUCACAGGCUCCAAAUUUGUAUACGUGCAAUACUUUUCUUUAUAAUGGUCAUUAAAGCCUCACACACUCUUGAUUUUGUAUUUCACGAGAGUAAACACUUAUGAGAAGCAUGUAAGAAUAACGCAGUGGUAAAAACCCUUAAUCAAAUGUUCACUCAGCCAAAUUCAAACCAACGCAUCUGUAUUGCUGCCUGCCAACCAAGCUAAUAACAGAUCUGCAAUCUUUCUUCAGUCUUCUCGGUGCCGCUUCCAGACCGGCCGCUACGUACGCGCAUACGCACACAGACACUGUUUCCUCCCCUGAGCCUACCUGUGUCAAAUGUGUUCCUUGAUUCCCAUUAAUGAGCAAACCGUCAUUAGUACGUCUGUGUGUGUGUGUGUGUGUGUGUGUGUGCGUGUGUGAGGCUGUAAGUGGGAGAGCGGAAAUGACUCAAGCUUAUGAUGCACAAGUACAUCAUUCUAUUUGUGCUCAUAGUUUUGAAUCCUGUGUUUUGAUCACAGAUAUUAAGUAGUCAGUGUAGAGGAAGCCAGAAUAAUGACAGAUUUUAUUCCAUGACUGUGACACUCUCGCACAUCAUUUUAUGGCACCACAAACUUGGUUGGAGCUGAGUGUUGUCCUUCUUGCACAUCUCUGAGCACUGAAGCGAAGAAAACAAAGGUUGUCUCAUGUUUUCCUCGGCUCGAGGAUUUAAUGCAGUAGAAAUACGACUGAGACAGCCGGUGAGAGAGAUCAUCAGUGCACAGAUUAUUUACAUUUAAAACACAUGCCAGAAAGACAGUAACAACCAACACUCUCCAUCCGUCUGUCUUCUCUCUGUUCUUUGCUUCCUGAUUGCCACAUGCGCUGCAGACCUGGACCGACGGGCAAACAAAGACGCUCCGAUGGCGAGGGACCACAGAUGGGACACGUGAGGGGAGUGACUUGUUUAGUUGACGCCCGUCCAGAUGUGAUGUGAGGAAACCAUCAGCCACCUUUGUGCCUUUGCACCGCUGCAAGAUUUGAACCAGCUUUGUUUACCACCGUGCAACAAAGUCAGUGGCAGGACACCUCGAAACCUUUUGCCAGAUGAGGUCAAACUACUCAUCUGUCCUCCGCUGCCAUGCGGCUGUGGAUUAUCUGAAAGCCGAGAGGAUGGGCCAGAAUCAGCCGAGGCUCGAAGCCGGGAGACUCGGAACCGCUGAACGUUGUUGUCAGUCAUUUUUCUCAACUGAAGUAUAUUCAGCCACUGCGGUUAUUAUUGUACGGUCGCUAGAAAGUGAAACUCCAUGGACAGUUCACAGAAA
Molecule: long non-coding RNA, 1566 nt
Organism: Gasterosteus aculeatus aculeatus (three-spined stickleback)
Lineage: Eukaryota; Metazoa; Chordata; Actinopteri; Perciformes; Gasterosteidae
Source: Ensembl